UGCUACAAUGGGCGGUACAAAGGGUCGCGAACCCGCGAGGGGGGAGCCAAUCCCAAAAAGCCGCUCUCAGUUCGGAUUGCAGGCUGCAACUCGCCUGCAUGAAGCCGGAAUCGCUAGUAAUCGCGGAUCAGCAUGCCGCGGUCCGAAUACGUUCCGGCCUU
Molecule: ribosomal RNA, 161 nt
Filed under: uncultured Anoxybacillus sp.
Lineage: Bacteria; Bacillati; Bacillota; Bacilli; Caryophanales; Anoxybacillaceae
Description: partial 16S ribosomal RNA
Rfam family: Bacterial small subunit ribosomal RNA
Source: RNAcentral